This is a long non-coding RNA of Gasterosteus aculeatus aculeatus (three-spined stickleback), 6605 nucleotides long. The record is from Ensembl. Lineage: Eukaryota; Metazoa; Chordata; Actinopteri; Perciformes; Gasterosteidae.
AACUUGUGUGUGUGUCUGCACUUAAUUGCAUUCAUGUUGCCUCGCGCCUGGUGUUUAGUCUGGGAGCAGGCUGGUUUGCUGGAGACGUCUGUCGUUGUGACGUUCUCCCCAAAAGGCCCAAUGUGUGCCGCCAUCCCCUGACCGGCCUCCAGUCAGCGAGGGAGCCGUUUCUACAGCAAACCGUUUUUAAAGGAAACCCUUGGUGACUCGAUUUAGACUCUACCAGGCCCACAGCGUAGGUCAUUGACAGUCAUUCACAGUCCUUCAGAAAAAGAGGUCAGGCCCAUCUCUUGGAGCUUCCGUGCUUCUCCAUUCUGUGUCCCUUACAGUCCGUUGCCGUUGAAGGAAAUAUAAAAAAAAUGUGAACGCAGGUUUGAUGCCACCCUGAGAAAAGAGGAGUGCUCGUUGAGCUCGCUUUCUACGUCAUUCAUUUUCCUAAGUAGAGAAAAGAAACGCUGUGCUAUUUGUCACUGUGCCUACUCCUUUCAUCUUUCCCUUUGUCAUAUAUAGUCAUAUUUUGCCGGCCUUUCUUCUGUUGACAGGACAAAGAAAAUGUUUGAGAUGACUCAAGAGGGUCGAGAAGAACAGUUUGUUUCACGAGGGGUUUGCAGGGGAACUUGUUUUUAUGUCACCCGUUCAAAUUAUAUUGAACUUGAAUGCUGCCCUCGAUCAUGUGAUAAUAAGAAUAAGGUUUGUUUUACAAUUAAAUAAUUACUGCUUAAAUCAUAUCAAUGGACUUAUGUUAUUGCAAACAGAUGCCUGGUCGAUUUAACAGACAGUGGAAUGAAAGGCUAUUGUUGUACUACAAAGUUUAUUGUAGAAUAUACAAUUAUCAAUGGGCCUGAUUAAAAAAAGUGGCACAUCGUGUAACAUUUUUGGCUAGCUCAUAAAACCACUGAUGUGAGAUAUUUAGAAUGUUAUAUAUUAAUUAAUGAAAAUCCUUUUCAAAUAAUGUGGACCAAGCUUUGCCAGAUCAGUUCAAAAUUAAACAAACCAUCAUCUGUUGCUUCUUAAACCCUUUGAACUAUAAAAAGGAAACAUAUAUAUGUCCCUUACAAUGUACCAAUAUUUGCCGAAUCCCCUUUGCAGGAGUAGACGCAUCAAUCGAAGGUAGUAAAUCCAAACUACUUUAAUUCUUUCCCCAACAGGCCAAAAUCAAAGUGUCCGACUUGGAUCCAUUCAUCUCUCUCAAUGUUAAGUGAUGUAUUUUUCCUCUUUGCAGGCCAAGUCCAUCUUAGCCCCAAGUCAUUGGAGAAAAUGACACUUGUAACAAGUUCUUAAUAUCUGCAAUUGUUUGCAGUUUUACUUGACUCCUGAUCGGCUCUGUUCAAGUGUCCUCUGACGGACACGGUGUCGAAAUAACACUGUUGCAUUUGGAUAGCUUACUGUUGUUCCCUCAGCCAAACGGAUCAAAGUAAAGUGCCGGAAGCUGCGCAGUUAAGUUCAGUGUCGUGUGUAACUUCCUUCUACAAGUUUGUUCGACCACACGCGUCAGAAGUGCAUUCAGUCCUGCUCUUCAGUUCAGUACAAGUGUGUGUUGAUUCUGGACAGGAUGAGUGCAAUAAUCACUUUUUAAGCACGUAUUUCUUAGACAAAUUAAAUUCAAUGAUUCAAUGGAUGCACACAACAGUCAAAAACAAAGGCAGUCACACCUAUAUUGAAAUGUAAUUAACCACAGUACUGAAAUUCAGAAAGCUUCUUCCUGACCUUCAGGAGGAGACGUAGCGUGCAGCUAUAGAAAGUUGUUUGUAACGGUACAAAACCUCAUAACUAUAUUUAUGAAUCUACUUCUUAAUGACUGCAACCUACAAGUGGCAGUACAGGUGUUGGCGUUCGUAAUAUCUGCUUUAUUUCUUUGCUGAAGGACACCCGGUAUUUGUACUUCAGUAUUUGUGGUAAUUGGUGACAGAGCAUCACAACAUUCUCCUGGUUCAGCCAGGAAGUUCUUCCCUUUUUUUUCUAUUUGGGAACCUGCUUGUUUGUGGGUUUUCAUGUAUUGUUCUUCAGAUAAUAAAUUGAGAACAAGGUUAUGAUAUUUCCCCCACAUAUAAUUCUUCUCUCAGCAUUUUCUUUCUUAUUGGAUGGGUGGAGAUAAUGCAAUCCUUAUCUUUGGGGGUCCUCGUAGGGCUGAAUGCUCCGAUGUUUGUUUUAAAAAAAAAAAAAAAAAAAAAAAAAAAAAAAAAGCUACUGCAGUAGAGGAUUUAGCCAACCCGUCGUUGUGCACUGCUUUGCAGUAAAUGCUGUUUUACUGGGUUUUCUUAUGGUACCAAAAUGAAAAUAAUCAGGUUGACAAGAGAACAAGUACUGUACCGCUUCUGCUUAUCCCAGCUAGUAUGUAUGUAUGUCUCUGUGUGUGCAUGGAUUUAGAGGAGAAAUCAUCAUAAUCUACUAAAAUAAAGCUAACCAGGCGCCAUCUAAAAGCGCUCUGAUAGAGCACAUCGAUCUGCUAUCAUACAUAUGUAUUUAGGCUGAAUGUAGGUCUCUGAGCUGGCGAGGCCGGGGGGGGAGAGCAGAAGAUUCUGUCUGUUCAACACUAGAGAGGACGCUCUCCCUCAGCACAAACUCAAAUAGGACGUGCCAGCUGGUUUCAGCUAGUCGGUCUGUUUAUCUCACGUGGGAUUAGAGGAGAAGUGUGCAGAUAGCAAGCAAUUCUUAAAUGCAAGCCUCCCAGCUUCCAUGCAUGAAACCGCCUUUUCAUUCAAAGUAUUGUUAACACACCACAGCGCGCUCAUUUCUGUCUGCAGAAGCCUGCUUCUUCAAGUGAAGGCUUUUGUCUCUUUUCACAGCUGGGUGCUCGUGGCAUUCUGUGGAAAAGGGUCCGGUGGGGGGGGGGGGAGGCAUUGGCUGCUGUGGUGGUUGUGGGGGGGCUGCAGGGACUGACAUUUUAAAGGGUUACGAUCUUGUUCUGCACGCCGCACAGACAGCUGAGCUGCAGCCUGGUUAGAACGAAAAGUCUGACUUGACUAUAAGGUCACACAGAAGCAUUAUCCGCUUUGUUACAUGGAUUUAUUUCAAUAUACGUCGUUUUUAGAUGUAAAAUCGUAAAAUGUAUCAUUUUCCAUUGUGCUUCUAAACCUCUUCAGAAAUAGUAAAAGGUUUUCUAGAAACCUUCAUGUCCCUCAGGUACGCAGUGCUUAUGCUCUCCACCGCAGCAUUAAUUGAAAUUCGCCUCAAAUAUUAAUGCAAUAAUGCAUUUAGUGCAAAUUGACGACGACUCUCUCCCUCCGUGCAUAUGCUGGGCUGGCAGUGUGCAGCGCAGCAACGAGAUGCAAAGUGACAUUCUUGCUUCCUGCAGGAUCUUUCUUGCAGCACGUGAGGCGCAGACGUCUGGCUUGUCUUUAAGUUUAGAGAAGGCCCUGAGGAAGGCCGGUUCUUGUGCUUGUGCACGGCUCGAUUUACAGACUCUGUCUAGCGGUCAACACCACGGAGUGUUUGUCUCGCCUGGUUAGUGUUCGUCCCUCCACAGUUUUGCAUUUCUCGCUGUUGGUCUCUCCAUCUUCCUUGCCACUGGAAGUGGAAGUCAGCGUGGAUUUCUUCACUGCAAACGAAGGCCUCCUGUAUAGGCCCUGCAGGCAGGUGAAGUCACCCAGUAAAUAUAGAGCACUGCAUAGGGAGCCUUUCGGCACACUCGCAGGAGUUGACUGGCGACAAAGGCGGCCGUGGAUUGAGCUCUCAGAAAUCAAAAUGGCUUAAUUUGAUGAGCGGGUGCAGGGCGAAGCGCUCCCGCUUGAACAUGUCGCGUACAAUUCACUGAUUGAAACACGUCAUACGAUCCACCGGCCCGCCCCUUUAUAGCUUCUAGAUGGCGGCGUAUACGAACAGGUACACGCACACGUCUGCUGCCCUGAGCCAGCGGUCAGGCACACACACACACACACACACACACACACACACACACACAAUCGCCACGAGAACAAGCUUGCCGUUGUGACUGCAGGAGGCGGAGGGACAGAGAUUGAGGCUGAAUGACUGACAUGGAGGCUGAAUAGCAAGUGGUGCUUCCGGUUUGCAUUGAAAUUCCCUGAUUGAAUCUUGUGCUGUCAAGCGAGGACUUCCAAAUAGUUGAAGUGCGUGGUCCGUAGUUUGAGACAUUACAGUGUCCCAUUACAUUCAUUUUCCAUGCCACUCAAGUGUGCUGUGUUAUGACGCAAGCUAAUGGAUUGUGUUGAUUAUUCUGCAGCGAUGCGAGGAGGAAAUGAUCUGUUUCCACUGCGCUCAUUUGUUUCUUCAGCAUACAGUUCAAUUACCAGAAGUCCACCAUAACGGGGAUUGUUUCUGUGAUUCAUUUAUUCAAUUCCAUCAAUACAGCUACAACACUGUUUUGAAACGGUGUGCUUUUAGUGUUUCCAUCUCGCUGUAUAUUAAAAAAGCAGACAUUUUUCUUUUGACUAUAACUGAGGUGGGUGGCUUGCUUGCACAGGCAUGAGGACAAGUCCCGGAUAAGAAUGAAUUCCAUCUUUUACUAGCUGCCUCUGAUGUUCUGACUCAGAUUGGUACACACACAGAACAUGCAAUGGUUAGUGUUUUUGUACACACACACACACACACACACCCAAAUCUGCCUCUGUUUCGUUGAUGAGGCUCUGUUAUUGCUCUGAACGAAGAUAUUAACACCCCAACCACCAAUUGGCUUAAAUGCUUUCACUACAGGGACGUUUUUUUUUUUUUUUUUCCCAGUUCCCUGUAACUGGACCAGACAUUGUGCCUUGAAGCAAAGUUAUUUUUACAGGUGGAAUGUUCAUUUUAAAUUGACUUAAAGAAUGACGUGUUGUCCUGUGGUCUCGGGCUCUUGGAUGUGCUUUUAUCCAGACACACCCAGAACAAUCACACAGGAUGAAUUACAUUGUAAAAAAAAGCAAGCGAUACCACAGAUGCCAGUGGCCUCACACAAGCAAAACAGCACAUCAAAAAAACAUUGUGAGGUGCUUCUGUGGAAGAAUGGAAUUUUUCUUAACAGCAUCAGUAUUUCAUGCUGUAGUGUACUCUGACAUCUGCAUGCCACAUAAUAAUAGCUGUAAAAUAGACUGAGAAUAUUUGCCAUGCUGUUCAAAUUGGUGUGCAUGUAUAGGAUCUGCUGCUGGACCACAUUCCGGUUGAGAAGGAGGUUCAGUGUCUGUACACCAUGUUCACCUCCCACCUGCAGUGUAUCUGCCCUGCAUGUGGGCGAUCGUGGCUCACUAUGGAGACAAUUAUCUCAUCUACAAUUCAUCCUGUUACUGUAGUGUGGUUAUGCAUCUGUGCAUUGUGGAAAAAUAGCCUGUUGCACAUUUGCAUUUAACAGUGGGCGUUAUGGAGAAGAACAUCUGUAUUAAAUGGCAACAAAGCAAUUGUGCAUCAAGCAUUCUCAGAUUAAAGGCUCUCGGUCUUCAUUGUUGAAUCCUGUAGAUCCACUCGCAUUAAGUAUUUCCACAAUUUCUACUCCUCCAACUGGUGUACGGGUGGUUUUAAAAGGAAAUCUUCCAAUAGUGUUCUAAGUAAAAAUAGGAAGGCGUGGGUGGGGAGUUGUUAUACUGAAUUAGCAUGCAUCGCGUUGGGUGGUUUCGCAUACAAUCAUUUGUGCAGCAGAGUCCACAACACCUGUGUUUUGUAGACUUUUUUUUAUUUUUUAUUGCUGCCCAAGUUCACGACAGAUCGUUGCGAGAAGGUUAAUUAAAUGUAAACACCCGGCAGCAGAAUUCACAGAGGUGGCUUCAUUCGUCUUGUGGUGGUGGAAAGGCGUGAUAGAUGGGUGCUAAUGGUUGAUUUAGUAAAGUGGUAAUAGUUGUGUACACAAAACAAAGAUCCUACAUUUUAAAUGUCCAACCAUCAGCAAUGUACGGCUCUGAGCAGGACGCAUGCGACGGCUCCACGGGGGACUCGUUGAUUACAGUAGGCCCAGCUUUCAUGCUUGCAUCCAUAUUACAGCUGUUGUUUGUGGGGGGGGAAAUGUAUUUGAGAUGAGACGUAUUAAGUGGGUGUUUCAUUCAUGACCUCUCACAGUCUAGAGGACAAUUCAAUGGACCAGGUGCCAGUAAGGCGAUUAAGAAACAAUUCCUUUUGUCUGUCUUGUACUGUCUACAAACGGGCCCUUGUAUGCACUGAACAACUUUGCUCUUCCAAGUUGCUAAUACGCCCGAUAUUGUAAUGCUGCUCAAUUGCAAUUGAGCAGCAUUACAGUAAAAAAUGUCAAGUGUGUAAAUUUGCAGAGGAAUAGGAGAUGAAAAUGUACUGUAACCCAAAAGUGUUUCUGCAAUAGCCCGUGUCAGUGCAAUAUAAUUAUGCUUGUGAAUGAUUAUUAGUUUAAUCUAAAGCAUUGAUUGAUAUUUUGCGGAUGUCUCGCAUGUGGAAGAGUCUUCGAGAAAUACAAUGAACUAAAAUGUCUACUUGGCGUGUCUACCAUAAUUAUAACUUUUAAGCUUGCAUGGGCCUUUCAUUUACAACCUUUUUUCAUUUCAAGUAAUCCGACUUUUUCUCCAGAACACCAGCAAGUUCUGAUCGUGCUGUUCAGCCAUGCUACUUAAAUUUGUAAUAGGCAUCACCACUACGUCGGCCUAGCAGCAACGCUUAAACUAGUGAUGGUUGUUUGCUUUAUAAAACGCAUCAAUGAGAAUGCAUCAAAUUUACAC